This 440-nucleotide ribosomal RNA is filed under the name uncultured bacterium. RNAcentral describes it as "partial 16S ribosomal RNA". It matches the Rfam family "Bacterial small subunit ribosomal RNA", at positions 338 to 795 of the family's 1533-position model. The record is from RNAcentral.
CCUACGGGAGACAGCAGUGGGGAAUAUUGCACAAUGGGGGAAACCCUGAUGCAGCGACGCCGCGUGAGUGAAGAAGUAUUUCGGUACGUAAAGCUCUAUCAGCAGGGAAGAAAAUGAAGGUAACUGACUAAGAAGCACCGGCUAACUACGUGCCAGCAGCCGCGGUAAUAUGGAGGGGGCAAGCGUUAUCCGGAUUUAUUGGGUGUAAAGGGAGCGUAGGCGGCAGGGCAAGCGUGGAGUGAAAUCUCAGGGCUUAACCCGGGACCUGCAGUGGGAACUGGGGUGCUUGAGUGCGCGGAAGGCAGGCGGAAUUCGUCGUGUAGCGGUGAAAUGCUUAGAUAUGACGAAGAACACCGAUGGCGAAGGCAGCUUGCUGCAGCGGAACUGACGCUGAUGCUCGAAAGCGUGGGUAGCGAACAGGAUUAGAUACCCCUGUAGUC